RNAcentral lists this ribosomal RNA (250 nucleotides) under uncultured bacterium. RNAcentral's name for it is "partial 16S ribosomal RNA". It matches the Rfam family "Bacterial small subunit ribosomal RNA", at positions 524 to 774 of the family's 1533-position model. The record is from RNAcentral.
UACAGAGGUCGCAAGCGUUAUCCGGAUUUAUUGGGUGUAAAGCGUCCGUAGGUGGUCUGUUAAGUCUAGAGUUAAAUACUAGAGCUCAACUCUAGCCCGCUUUGGAUACUAACAGACUAGAGUUAUAAAGAGGUUAGCGGAAUUCCAUGUGGAGCGGUGAAAUGCGUAGAUAUAUGGAAGAACACCACAAGCGAAGGCAGCUAACUGGGUAUACACUGACACUGAGGGACUAAAGCGUGGGGAGCAAAUA